RNAcentral lists this ribosomal RNA (1259 nucleotides) under Enterobacter sp. UIWRF0259. RNAcentral describes it as "bacterial SSU rRNA". It matches the Rfam family "Bacterial small subunit ribosomal RNA", at positions 196 to 1438 of the family's 1533-position model. The record is from RNAcentral. Lineage: Bacteria; Pseudomonadati; Pseudomonadota; Gammaproteobacteria; Enterobacterales; Enterobacteriaceae.
CAAGACCAAAGUGGGGGACCUUCGGGCCUCAUGCCAUCAGAUGUGCCCAGAUGGGAUUAGCUAGUAGGUGGGGUAAUGGCUCACCUAGGCGACGAUCCCUAGCUGGUCUGAGAGGAUGACCAGCCACACUGGAACUGAGACACGGUCCAUACUCCUACGGGAGGCAGCAGUGGGGAAUAUUGCACAAUGGGCGCAAGCCUGAUGCAGCCAUGCCGCGUGUAUGAAGAAGGCCUUCGGGUUGUAAAGUACUUUCAGCGAGGAGGAAGGCAUUAAGGUUAAUAACCUUGGUGAUUGACGUUACUCGCAGAAGAAGCACCGGCUAACUCCGUGCCAGCAGCCGCGGUAAUACGGAGGGUGCAAGCUUUAAUCGGAAUUACUGGGCGUAAAGCGCACGCAGGCGGUCUGUCAAGUGGGAUGUGAAAUCCCCGGGCUCAACCUGGGAACUGCAUUCGAAACUGGCAGGCUAGAGUCUUGUAGAGGGGGGUAGAAUUCCAGGUGUAGCGGUGAAAUGCGUAGAGAUCUGGAGGAAUACCGGUGGCGAAGGCGGCCCCCUGGACAAAGACUGACGCUCAGGUGCGAAAGCGUGGGGAGCAAACAGGAUUAGAUACCCUGGUAGUCCACGCCGUAAACGAUGUCGACUUGGAGGUUGUGCCCUUGAGGCGUGGCUUCCGGAGCUAACGCGUUAAGUCGACCGCCUGGGGAGUACGGCCGCAAGGUUAAAACUCAAAUGAAUUGACGGGGGCCCGCACAAGCGGUGGAGCAUGUGGUUUAAUUCGAUGCAACGCGAAGAACCUUACCUACUCUUGACAUCCAGAGAACUUAGCAGAGAUGCUUUGGUGCCUUCGGGAACUCUGAGACAGGUGCUGCAUGGCUGUCGUCAGCUCGUGUUGUGAAAUGUUGGGUUAAGUCCCGCAACGAGCGCAACCCUUAUCCUUUGUUGCCAGCGGUUCGGCCGGGAACUCAAAGGAGACUGCCAGUGAUAAACUGGAGGAAGGUGGGGAUGACGUCAAGUCAUCAUGGCCCUUACGAGUAGGGCUACACACGUGCUACAAUGGCAUAUACAAAGAGAAGCGACCUCGCGAGAGCAAGCGGACCUCAUAAAGUAUGUCGUAGUCCGGAUUGGAGUCUGCAACUCGACUCCAUGAAGUCGGAAUCGCUAGUAAUCGUAGAUCAGAAUGCUACGGUGAAUACGUUCCCGGGCCUUGUACACACCGCCCUCACACCAUGGGAGUGGGUUGCAAAAGAAGUAGGUAGCUUAA